RNAcentral lists this non-coding RNA (26 nucleotides) under Drosophila melanogaster (fruit fly). The record is from RNAcentral. RNAcentral also lists the same sequence under 1 other name. Lineage: Eukaryota; Metazoa; Arthropoda; Insecta; Diptera; Drosophilidae.
CUCGGAUCAGGUAGGGAUACCCGCUG